CGAGGGGCGGCGCGGGGCUCCUCUCGCGCCUCGGGCUCGCGGCUUUUGCCGCUUUCAGCAGAAAUCCGCCGCUCUUGAGCGGCUGCGGGGCGGGCGGCCGCCGCGCCACUCCCCGCCGCUGGGCGUGCGGCGUGAGGGGGAGGCCGGGGCGGCUGGGCAGGGAGAGGGCCGCUUUCGUGCGAGCGGUGAGGCUGUUCGUAAGGGGACGGAGCGUAACGCUCACCGAGCGAGGGAAGCGUGCUGCCGGGGGGGCGUCUUAGGCGGCGGUCGCUUUGCGCCUUCCCCGCUCCUCGUGACUGAGGUAUCUGCGCGCUGCCGGCUUCGAGCGCCCGCCGGGCGGCUGCGGGGCCUCAGCUGGCACAGACUGGUGCGGGGCCCUGACACACCUCGUCCUACGUGUCCGGCCCUGACUGAUGGGAGGACGCGAGGCGGCAAAACUCAUCAGUGUUAAUUAAUUCCUGGUAUGUUGUCUUUCUUGGUGAUGAAGACAAAUUGCCUUUUCCAAGACUGAGUCCGUCCGUGUUAACAAUUACAGAAGCCCCGCUUGAAGAACGCUGCUGAGAAUAAAGCUGUUAUCCCAGCCCGGGGCUGCGCUGAGGCCCGUGUUUUCCGAGCUGCUGAUGGGCGGCACUGCCGGUGUUUUAAAAAACAGUAAGCACUGCACCCUCAUUCCCAGCCAAAACGGGGAGGAAAAGUGGGAAGUGAAGCUGCUCCACAGCAACAGGGACAGACUGGGCAGAGGGCGUUUCUUCAAGUAAAGGGUCUUCCCUAUCCGUAAACACGUGUGUGGGUGCGGGCUUUGACCCCCGGCUUCAUGCUCCUUCCCACCAAAGAGCUCAGCACGGGCUGGGGCCGGCUCAGAAGGAUGCCCGUUUCUCACACUGCACCUCGGGAGCUGUUGGUUGUCUCGAGCGGGGCUAUCUCCAGCGCUUCCAUCCUCGCAGAAGAGCUGGAUGUGAAUAAUAAAUUGCUCUUUCUCAUAAAUACACCCACAAAGGUGGCAAUGCGCAUGUUGGCAGGGAGAGGAGAGGGAAGGUUAGCGCAGUGAGUGCUGCUGAAGGUCCUCCGGGCAGUCGUUACCGAUUCCAGGCAUGCCUCAAGCUGGCACAGCGAUGCCUUUCUGGGACACCUUGAAGAACAGAGGACUCAUCUAAGGUGGUCAUAUCUGGAUGCACUGACCUUACUCCUGGCAGAUAGCCACUCUCCUUACUCUGGCUCAACCAUGCUGCCCAUCAGAGAGCAAUGCAAUCUCACGUGGAGGAGAAGCACUACCAUCACACAGCUGGGCUUAAGGGCACUGAGGUCUGCACAUAGAGGAAAGUACCAGCUGCUUCUGUCUCUGACAUCACUUCUUCUCCAUGGCAACGCAGAAAGACAUCACUGGGUGUUUGACAGAGGAGUC
RNAcentral lists this long non-coding RNA (1402 nucleotides) under Gallus gallus (chicken). The record is from RNAcentral. Lineage: Eukaryota; Metazoa; Chordata; Aves; Galliformes; Phasianidae.